GCAACGAAUUUGCGCUGUUCUACAGUAUUGUAGAGUGAAUUCGGUACUCUUCUGCCUGGGUUAGGGCUGCGGUUAAAACACUCAUUUAGUAUGAGCCCUUUGGGGUUUUAGUUUCCCAGCUACUGCCUUCACCUUAGCCCUGUGGUGUUUUAGUGCUUGAGAAACGCAUAGUUGGAGCUGGAGGCACACACCUCAUUCAAAGGUUUUACUUCAUGAGAAAUUGUAACUUAAUGUGCUGGACUUCAAUUUGGGAGGUCGGAAACCAAAAGCCUCCUCCUGUAUCCCCAGGGUUAGACCGAGGAAAGAAAGCGUCACCUGAGGAGAAGCGGCGUGGUUAAGAGGCAGUCUGUCGCGAAGCCUCAAAGUACAUGUUUAUGAAGUUCUUGUUUGAACGCUAUGGGUGCAUCUUGCCAUUAUCAUUGUCCCCCAGUUAAAGGUCUCCGGGAACACCCAUGUAGUGGAACAAAGUUGAGCUUAUUGUCUUCUUGGAACGAGGGAGAAUGCCCACUGUGAAGAACAGCCGAACCGUCUCAGGAAGAGGAUAUCGGAGAGAACUCGAAGCUUUUGGGCUUGUGUUAGAUACAGAAAUCAUUUUAUGGAGUCAUCCAAAAAUAGUGAGAAACCAGAAACAGACUACUGGAAUCUUUACUCUGGGCCAUUCCUUAUGCUCAGCACCACCAUAGAUCUCCAGCUGCCCAAUAAUAAGGAGAAGACAUGAUGUCCAGAGCAAAAAGCCAUGGUUACUCUUUUUGGAGUGGGAGUUUGGAGGAAGAAACAUUUCAUUCUUUCAUGACGACCAGAAAUGGCUGACACCACAGAAUAUAAGGUAAUUUCUCCAGCAGUUUUCCUGCCAAACACCUUGCUCCAGAGUAAGGGGCCUCUCCAAAAAGAGACAGUAGUCCAACCUGGGAGUGGAUCUCCACAGCAAUAGUGCUCCAGCCUCACACUGGGGGGAAAGGGCGCUUCAGGUUGGAAGUAAGCAGCAAACUUAGACUCCCCCAUCUUCUGCAUGGUGUCCCAGACUAACUGGGGAGAGUGGAACUGCUCCUCUGAGGUUCCAAUUCCCUGGGGCUGGCCUACUUUAGUCUUUCCCAUUCUCUGAUCUUAGAAGGGUUUUUUUCUGUUGUGGUGGUGCUGGUGGUUUUAAUACAGUUUUAUUGAGUUUUCUUCACAUAACCUACAGUCAUCCACA
Long non-coding RNA from Choloepus didactylus (southern two-toed sloth), 1192 nucleotides. RefSeq lists it as uncharacterized. The transcript has 3 exons. Lineage: Eukaryota; Metazoa; Chordata; Mammalia; Pilosa; Megalonychidae. The record is from RefSeq and is a predicted model, not a curated record.